This 22-nucleotide small nuclear RNA is filed under the name Arabidopsis thaliana (thale cress). RNAcentral describes it as "snRNA_16164". Lineage: Eukaryota; Viridiplantae; Streptophyta; Magnoliopsida; Brassicales; Brassicaceae. The record is from RNAcentral.
AUGCGGAACGGAGCAAUCCGGU